AACGAACGCUGGCGGCAUGCCUAACACAUGCAAGUCGAACGAGACCUUCGGGUCUAGUGGCGCACGGGUGCGUAACGCGUGGGAACCUGCCCUUAGGUUCGGAAUAACUCCCCGAAAGGGGUGCUAAUACCGGAUAAUGUCUUCGGACCAAAGAUUUAUCGCCUUUGGUUGGGCCCGCGUUGGAUUAGCUAGUUGGUAGGGUAAAAGCCUACCAAGGCGACGAUCCAUAGCUGGUCUGUGAGGAUGAUCAGCCACACUGGGACUGAGACACGGCCCAGACUCCUACGGGAGGGAGCAGUGGGGAAUAUUGGACAAUGGGCGAAAGCCUGAUCCAGCAAUGCCGCGUGAGUGAUGAAGGCCUUAGGGUUGUAAAGCUCUUUUAACCGGGAUGAUAAUGACAGUACCGGGAGAAUAAGCUCCGGCUAACUCCGUG
RNAcentral lists this ribosomal RNA (433 nucleotides) under uncultured bacterium. Its description in RNAcentral is "partial 16S ribosomal RNA". It matches the Rfam family "Bacterial small subunit ribosomal RNA", at positions 29 to 507 of the family's 1533-position model. The record is from RNAcentral.